UCACUCUGUCAGCCAGGCCGGAGUGCAGUGGCGCCAUCUCCGUUCCCUGCAACCUCCGCCUUCUGGAUUCAAGGGAUCCGCCCACCUCAGCCUUCUGAGUAGCUGGGACCUCAGGAACGCACAACCACGCCCAGCUAAUUUUUUAGAUGCCCUGCCCAGAGAGGAGGAAUCUAGAGAGGCAGUCUGGCUGCAGUGUCAUUGCUGAGUUGCAGAGGGCCUCCACCCAGUUCGAACUUCCGGCAGCCGGCAGCUUUGUUUACACUCUUGCCCUCCGUGGACUGCACCCACUGUCCAACCAGUCCCAGUGAGAUGAACCAGGUACCUCAGUUGGAAAUGCAGAAAUCACCUGCCUUCUGCAUCGAUCUCGCUGGGAGCUGCAGACGGGAGCUGUUCCUAUUUGGCCACCUUGCCAGCCAGCACGUUCUUAAAAUCAACACUUAAUCAUACACUGCCAUAUGAUCCAGCCAUUCCACUCUUCAGUACUUACCCAAAAGGAAAGAAAAUACAC
Long non-coding RNA from Gorilla gorilla gorilla (western lowland gorilla), 508 nucleotides. RefSeq lists it as uncharacterized. The record is from RefSeq and is a predicted model, not a curated record. NCBI's taxonomy places the organism in Eukaryota, Metazoa, Chordata, Mammalia, Primates, Hominidae. The transcript has 3 exons.